GACGAACCGUGCGAACGUUGUUCGGAAUCACUGGGCUUAAAGGGCGCGUAGGCGGGCUCAAAAGUCAGGGGUGAAAUCCCACGGCUCAACCGUGGAAGUGCCUUUGAUACUGGCGAUCUUGAGUCCGGAAGAGGUGAGUGGAACUCCUAGUGUAGAGGUGGAAUUCGUAGAUAUUAGGAAGAACACCAGUGGCGAAGGCGGCUCACUGGUCCGGUACUGACGCUGAGGUGCGAAAGCGUGGGGAGCAAACAGG
RNAcentral lists this ribosomal RNA (253 nucleotides) under uncultured bacterium. Its description in RNAcentral is "partial 16S ribosomal RNA". It matches the Rfam family "Bacterial small subunit ribosomal RNA", at positions 524 to 776 of the family's 1533-position model. The record is from RNAcentral.